Molecule: long non-coding RNA, 601 nt
Organism: Gossypium arboreum
Lineage: Eukaryota; Viridiplantae; Streptophyta; Magnoliopsida; Malvales; Malvaceae
Exons: 2
Source: RefSeq, a predicted model, not a curated record
AACAAGAUGGUAAGUAAAGGGACGAAACGGAGCCGUUUGAAAUUCCAUCACAAUAAAAGAAAUUUAAAUAUAGCUGAUGGAAUACUUGUCAUGGAUUCAGAGAGACUUUUAUAUUUUUGUUUGGUGUGGAUUUAUCAAUUUUGCUGGUAAUAGGAAAUGUUUAUGCUGCCAGGAGGCAAGGCCCAAGAGAUAGUUAAAUCUUGCGGAAUGGGAAUGCCCUCCGUAUGUUUCUCUAUUUCCAGCUCCGCAACGGUUCGCUCUCACUGUCGUACCAUUGUUUUCCACCUCAGCUUCUCUGUCCAUAGCCGAAACGGACUACUCCCGAAGAGGAAGGUGACGAAUGAGCUACCUGAUUAGAAAGAAGUGAGGGUUGGGAAAAACAAUUCGGUGAGGCUACUGACGAGUCUAACGGCGAAAAAAAUUGUUCUGGCGAAUGUGAUUGAGAGGAUUAUUAGAGAUGGACUUGACUAUUAUUUUGUUUUGUUUUUAUCAAAUAAAUGACAUGUAAAUGUGUUAAGGAUAUUAUUAUUAUUAUUGUGGGAUAUGUUUUAGGAAUAUUUAAAUAUAGACAAGAAUAAGGUAAUCCCAUUUUAUUUAUAAA